This 733-nucleotide long non-coding RNA is filed under the name Nicotiana benthamiana. Its description in RNAcentral is "long non-coding RNA (NBEN_LNC003974)". The record is from RNAcentral. Lineage: Eukaryota; Viridiplantae; Streptophyta; Magnoliopsida; Solanales; Solanaceae.
CUAAAGUUGCAUAUUGAAAAAAUGACAUGCUAAAGUUUCUGACAGUCCCAAAUUUACCAUAUAUUUAGCUACAUACCCUAAAUACAAUUGUAGCUACUAAUCCAUGCUUGGCCAAGUCUUUGCCUCACAGUCCAUAAUUCAGUUAUAAUGCAAUAAUCUAGCUAAUACAACUGAAGACAACCACACCACACCGAAUAAGAGGAUCAAACAUAUAAACAUCAUGAAGAAAAACUGUAAAUAAAUAACACAAUCUGAUAUAAUGCUUCAAACUCUCAUUUUCAUUUCUUCCCUUCACAACCAAAGAGUUACAGAGUUGUGUACCUGAAAAUUAGAGUAAAGAGGUAAGGUUCAUCAGUAGUAAUCACAGGAUCCCAACAGCAAAAUAAAUCACAAAAUAGCUUUGAACCAAAAAAAAUUGAUACCCAGCAGUCACAGAUCCGCAACCAGAAUUUCAAACCAGCUUUUAAAAUACCAAAACUUAAAUCAUAUCGAGCCUAGUAGCUCAGAAACCAAUUCAGGAAUCUGAAAUUGGAUAUGUCACAAAAGGACUCGAUGCAACAGCGAUCUCAACUAAACUCCAAACAAAAACACCUUAUAAAACCCACCAACUCGUACUGAGAUUAUUCCAUUUCGACUCUAAGGCUGUUCAAGGAGUAUUUUAGAGGUUGAAAAGCAGUAGAAAUUCACUCAAAAUCUAAUGGAACAGUAAUCUUUUUCUGUAUAGGAGUUGGAG